Molecule: long non-coding RNA, 4162 nt
Filed under: Canis lupus familiaris (dog)
Lineage: Eukaryota; Metazoa; Chordata; Mammalia; Carnivora; Canidae
Description: lncRNA (ENSCAFG00845016439.1)
Source: RNAcentral
UUGAAGUUAGAGGGUUUUUUGUUUUGUUUUUUUUUAGAUUUUAUUUAUUUAUUCAUGAGAGACACACAGAGAGAGGCAGAGACACAGGAAGAGGGAGAAGCAGGCUCCUCACAGGAAGCUCAAUGCAGGACUCACUCCCUGGACCUGGGAUCACGCCUUGAGCCAAAGGCAGACACUUAACCGACUGAGCCACCCAGGUGCCCCAAUAACACUUUAUCGUAAUAGAUGGUAGGACAGAUUUGCCCCACAGGCAGUGUUUUGACACUCUUUGGACUAGAGGUCACAGUUGAGCAUUUUCAAAGGCUUGAAGGCCAGUGUGAUCAGAAUAAAGGUGAGAGAGGAGAGAGAUGAGGUUACAAGGAUAAGUCAGGGUCAGAUCACAGAAACUUGUAGACCACAAGGAGGAUUUGAUGGAUUCUCUCUCACUCAUUCACUCACCAAACAUUCAUCAGGGACCCACGAGCCACCCAGGUGCCCAUCCCUGGGUGAUUUUUAAGAAUGAUAAAGUCUGGGCAGCCCCGGUGGCUCAGCGGUUUAGCGUCACCUUCAGUCCAGGGUGUGAUCCUGGAGACCUGGCAUCGAGUUGCAGGUCGGGCUCCCUGCAUGGAGCCUACUUCUCCCCCUGCCUGUGUUUGUCUGUUUGUCUGUGUGUGUGUGUGUGUGUGUGUGUGUCUCAUGAAUAAAUAAAUAAAUCUUAAAAAAAAGAAAGAAUGAUAAAGUCUGAGACCUACUGCCCUAAAACAUUUACUCCUGUGGGGUAAAGGUCUUAAUGAAGGCAAAGCUUAAGACAAACAUAAAAACAAUUUUGACAAAAGAAGUAGAAACAGAAUUAUUUUCAAUGUACAAAGUUUUCAAAUUAUGACAUAAAAAGAAAACAGACCUAGUACAGAACAAUAUAGGUUUUCAAAGAUCCUGAGAGAAUGAUUGAGAGGAGCAAGAAGAGCACAAGGUUAACCUGAACCACGAGCAAAUCCAGCACGCCCACUAACCAGCUAUGUGCCUUGUAGCAAACUGCUUAACCAGAGUCUGACUUUCUUCAUUAACAGGUUAAAAUAAUAAGUUCCUUGACCUGUACCCUAUGACAGUUGUGAAAAUCAAAUGGGAUAACGUAUGCAACAAUGCUUUGUAUGGAAGGAUAACAUCGUGAUCAAGUUUCAUUUUCUGCUGUAACUCUUUUUUUUUUUUAAGAUUUUAUUUAUUUAUUCAUGACAGACAUAGAGAGAAAGAGAGAGGCAGAGACACAGGCAGAGGGAGAAGCAGGCUCCAUGCCGAUAGCCUGAUGCAGGACUUGAUCCCUGGACUCCAGGAUCAUGCCCUGGGCCGAAGGCAGGCGCAAAACUGCCGAGCCACCCAGGGAUCCCUUGCCGUAACUCUUUACAACAGAAUAUAUGCAUCUUCCCUUCUACUCAGGAAAUGGGUAGGAUUUUGAAUCUUGUAGUGACUUUUAGUGUAGGUUGCUAGAGAUACACAGCUUCGAUGAGGGUUGUUCUGGGCUUGACAAGAGGGAACAGAGGGAAGUGGCCUCAUCUGCCAGAGCUUUGGCAGAUGGUGGCAGGGAUACCAUUAAUAUCCCUGAACUCAUCUGUAGCUUUAUAAUGUCUCCUCCCCACAGAAAGUUUAAUUAAAACAUACAAUAUCAGGGCACCCAGGUGGCUCAGUUGGUUAAGCCUCUGCCUUCAGCUCCAGUCAUGAUCUCAGGGUUCUGGGAUCAAGCCCCACAUGAGGCUCUCUGCUCAGCAGGGAGUCUGCUUCUCCCUCUCCCUGUGCCCUUCCCCUUCCCCCUGCUCUCAUGUGCAAGCGCUCUCUCUCUCUCUCAAAUAUGUAAAUAAAAUCUUAAAAAAAAAAAAAGACCUAUAAUAGCUGAGGCCAAUGUACAGUCUUGAACAUUCUUACUGCCUAGCAGCUGCUGUUGUAUGGGCUCUUUACAGUAGCUUCUGUGCUGAUUGGUCAAUGUUUGUGCCACACAGGUUGUUAUCUUUCAGUAACACCUCUGGUGAUACCCCAUAAUUAAAAGGAGUGUUAUCUGAAGCUCAUUUCAAACAGAAGCAAUUCCCCUAUCUCUGGGAUGGUUUAAUGGGUUCCUAUCGUGCUUCACCAGGCCUGCACAUUCCUCGGAACUUUGAUCUCAUCGCAUACUCCUAAACUUAAUGACAAAUAGUUUUAGCAUGUUCAUUCAUCACAACAGCACAAUUUACAAUUUAUUCUGUUUCAAGUACAUUUCUCCUGCUGAGGAAGACAUGAGCUACUAUUCUGGAAGAACUCCCAUGCCAGUGUGGAUAAGAAUUCUAUUUCUAGACUGGGGUUUCCUUAUUCAUUUCACGUAGCUAAGACAUCCCAGGCCACCACAGUCUUUAUUUCCCACUUUUUUCCAUUGCUAUUUUCUCCCCUCAACUAGGGACAGAAUAGGUAGACUUCCUAUCUAAUAUUCAUUUUUUUUUCCUCUUAGCUUGUCUCUCUUGGAUUAAAAGUGACUUUCAGAUAAAUUUGUACCAUUUAUUUUAUUUUAAAGAUUUUAUUUAUUUAUUCAUGGGAGACACAGAGAGAAGCAGAGACACAGGCAGAAGGAGAAGCAGGCUCCCUGCAGGGAGCCCCAUGUGGGGCUUGAUUCCAGGACCCCAGGAUCAAGCUCUGAGCCAAAGGCAGACGCUCAACCGCUGAGCCACCCAGGCAUCCCAAAUGUGUAUCAUUUUUUUAAAAAGAUUUUAUUUAUUUAUUCAUGAGAGACCCAGAGAGAGAGAGAGAGGCAGAGACACAUGCAGAGGGAGAAGCAGUCUACAUGCAGGGAGCCCGAGGCGGGACUCGAUCCGGGGACUCCAGGAUCACGCCCUGGUCUGAAGGCAGGUGCUAAACCGCUAAGCCACCCAGGGAUCCCCAAAUGUGUAUCAUUUAAGAGAGGGAGCUAGUACCAGGAGAACUUAAAGGCCUCUCAUAAGAAUAUAAAACAUAUUCAUUAUAUUCCUUACUUGAAUUGACUUUAAACCAUGUAGUAGACUCAUAAGCCUUACAAUCUUUACCUCCAAAUGAUAGGUGCAAAACACCAUUAUUUUUCUAGCAUGCAUAAUUUUUCAUUGAAACCGAAAUGUUCAAAGUGACCACUAGCUGUACCAGUUGAGGUGUGAUAGGACACCUCAUACCCUAAAUUGCAAAAAUUAAAGGAUUUCUAGCUCUACUCAAAGUGAUCCAUGCAGUCUAAAGAGCAGCCCAACAUUCUCUCUCACUAGGGAUGACUUGGCUUAGCACAUCUAGGAACUGUUUAACAGAAACCCCAAAUUUUAGAGAUAGUCCAUUAAAGCAGAUACAACCAGGGCAGGAAUGGUGACUGAUUUUCUUUUCAGGUACUCUACAUAAAUCACAUUCUUGGUUAAAUACCUUCAUUCCACCAGCAACCCCCAAUUCUUUUCCCCAAAAAACAGCAAAAAAACAAAAACAAAAAACAAAAAAAAAAAAAAAAAAAAACCCAGAGGAUUUACACCCUUGUUACUCAAGGCAUGGUUCACGGACUAACAGAUCUGAGAUUGCCUGCAAACUUGUCAGAAAUGCAGUCUCGGGCCCAAACCAGGGCCACAGAAUUCUGCUGCUUUUUAACUAAAUGUCCAAGUGAUUCAUAUUCACAAUGGAGUAUGAGAAGUACUGGCUUAAGUGACAGGUUUGUUAAGAAGCAUACCAAAAACGAAUCAAGAUUCUCUACUCAGAACACUUGAAAAAAUAAAAACAGACAACUCACUUCAGUUAGGACGUGUGAUGAAGCAGCCCCAGCCUUGGAAGAGAGGCAGUGGCGAUAUGGAGAAGACUUCUACCCUUGUACGUUUUCCUAUAGAGACUUCUGCCCAAGAUCCAUGUCCCUUAAAGUUCCAGGAGCUUCCCUUUGCCAGCCCUCGGGGGCAAGGGAAAGAAUCAGAGGAAAUGCAGCGGCCCCUCAGCGUGGUCCUGCAAUGACCAGGAAGACUGAGGCUUUCCAAAUACACUAGCCUGGAGGAAAUGGGCAGGGUGCAGUCGAGGCUUCUCCUAUCGCCCUGAGUUCCUUUCUUCUCCACCAGGAGCCGGGUACUACCCACAUUUCUUUCUCAAACACUGAGAUUCAAAGCGACGACCUAAUGCCUCCAAUCAGCCUGGGAGCCUUUUCCAGCGUUCCUGGCAAGAGGAUGGGAAAGAGAGAAAAUGC